This 253-nucleotide ribosomal RNA is filed under the name uncultured bacterium. RNAcentral describes it as "partial 16S ribosomal RNA". It matches the Rfam family "Bacterial small subunit ribosomal RNA", at positions 524 to 776 of the family's 1533-position model. The record is from RNAcentral.
UACGGGGGGUGCAAGCGUUAAUCGGAAUUACUGGGCGUAAAGCGCACGCAGGCGGUUUUUUAAGUCAGAUGUGAAAGCCCCGGGCUUAACCUGGGAAUUGCAUUUGAUACUGGCAAGCUUGAGUAUCGUAGGGGGGGGUAGAAUUCCAGGUGUAGCGGUGAAAUGCGUAGAGAUGUGGAGGAAUACCGGUGGCGAAGGCAGCCCCCUGGACAAGGACUGACGCUCAGGUGCGAAAGCGUGGGGAGCAAACAGG